This 3250-nucleotide long non-coding RNA is filed under the name Coffea arabica (coffee). Its description in RNAcentral is "long non-coding RNA (CARA_LNC001867)". The record is from RNAcentral. Lineage: Eukaryota; Viridiplantae; Streptophyta; Magnoliopsida; Gentianales; Rubiaceae.
UUCGGGGGUCACAGUUGAAGAGAGGGAAGGCAAAGACAAUGUCUAAGGCACCCUCUCCACCUAACUUAAGCUAGUUGCAUGAUUUAGUCAUGAUUUUCCUAAUUUCUAACCAAGAGAUGUAUCGCAUUUGGAUGCAACUAAUACGAAUGCAAUCCUAAACCUAAUGAGGAAUCGAAAGGGACAGAUAUCUCUUAGAGGCUCGAUCGGACUAAAUCACAUGAGUUGUGAUAGCCAAGGGUAAGCCCUCCAAGAGGUCACGAGUAAUGCUAAUGAUGAAAAAAUGAAUGGAAUGAAUGUAUGCAAUGUGAAAACAUGAGCUUAUGUGAAGUGAAAAAAGUAAUAAUAAAAAUAAAAAUAAUAGUGUGUAAGUGGGAGUGUGCAAAUGGGGGUGCAAGGUGAGGUAUGUAAAGUGAUAGUGUGAAGUGCAUGUGUGCUCAGUUGUAGUAUGUAAAGUGCUAGUGGUAGAGUGAGAAUGUGUAAGAUAAGAGUGGUGUGAAGUGAAAAUGUGGAAAAAGUAAUAGUAUAUGACGUGAGAGUGCAAAGUGAUAGUGGGUAAAUGAAAUGCAUGAACCCUAGAGGAAUGCAAGCAAGACGGGUACGGGGAAACCCUAAAUCGUGACUUUUGCUUUUCCUUUUGGUUAGAAAAAGAAUGAGCGUGCUAAGGCUAUGUGUAGCCACACUCGUCCAUCCCCCUUACCAAAAGAGUAACUCCCUAACCUAAUCAAGCGAAUGACCUUAAUGACUAGAAUGAAAUGCAAAAUCCUAAGAUCAUACUUUGAAUGUGGGAAAAAGGGAAAGUAUCAUGCAAAAAUGUAAAAAGUACUAAAAAAAAUGCAUGAAGAUGUCGUGAGGGCAUGCAAGUAUGUACUAGCGAGGGACGGCCCUAUUGGGUCUAGCAUUGGACUAGCCCUUUACUAACGCUCUCUCACAAGCAUUGGACUUGUGAGCGAUCGGGAAUAAGUAACCAUGACUAGCAUUGGACUAGCCACGGUUAUAUCGUACAUUUGCAUUCACCAUAUACACAAGUAAAUGGGCAUAGUUAAAGCAAGUAGGCAUGUGAGCACGUAAUUCACAUAACACAUAAGCAUGCAUGUCUAGAUGCUAAAUCCUAGGAAAGCGGUAACACAUAGCAAGUAAGCAUGCAAAUCACGCAAGGCAAAUAAAGCAAAGAAGCCCUAUCUAUUACAUUGUGGAGGGCCUACUACAAUCUAAGAGGGGGAAAUGAAAUAAAUAAUUAAAAUAAAUACCUAACUAUUACAAAUUUGGAAUUCAAGUGCUUUUCGAAUGAUCAAAAUUGAACUAAAAUAAAUAUAUAAAAUUAAAGCCAAUAAAACAAAUAAAAACACUCAAGAGGCAUGCAAUUACACACGUAGAGUCACAUAGGGCAUGUAGAGUCAAAUAAAGUAAGAAAUAAGGGAUAGAGUGUACCUCCCUUGAGUUGGGGCCCUAAUGGAGUGAAAUUACUUAUUUACCCUCCAAAAUAAAAGAAAAGGGUCAAGGCAUCACUUUAGUUAACAAAUAAUCACAAAAGAUAAAAAUAAACAUGAAAUUGAAUCAGUUAAAUCAUGUAAACAACCCACAUUGAAGAAAUUAAAACAAGCAAGGACUUAAUUACAAAAAUUAACAAAGUUUUGGUGCCAAAAUUAAAGAAAAAUAAAGUUUAGGGGCUUAUUUACAAUUAAAUUAAAGAUCCAAUUGAAAGAGAACUAAAGUUUUUAGUGCCUUAGUACAAUUAUUCAAAAGUCCAGGGACUGAUUUGAAAUUUCAUUGCCAGAUCACUUAAAGAAUUGGGCCAUCGGGCCAGCUUUCUUAUUUCCUUGGGCUAAAGCCUCCCAAGCCCAAACGAAAGUCCAAAGCAAAAGGAGCGGGCCAGUCUAUUAUUUUUUAACCCAAAAUUUGCCAACAAAACUGAUGGGCCUUGACUCUAUAACCCAAACCAAAAACCCAAAAGAAAAUAAACUAAAUCCACAUUUACAAAUCCAAUCAAAUAUAAUUAUCCACAAACCUAAACCAUAAUACUAAACCCAACAACAUAAACAAAUCAACAAAAAAUAUUAAGCCACAAUUAUGAACUAAAUUCCAGAAUUAAUCUAUCCAAAAAGUCACAUAAAAUAUGCAAACAGAGGAUUAAGCUUAAAAGGGUGAAAUUAGUUUGAUUUUUACAGAUUUUGGGCAACAGUGAAUUUCGGCAAAAAUUAAGGGGUUAAAUUGCAAUUUUCAGAACUUCAUUCAUGAAUUGCAGGAGAUUUCUUCUUCGAUGCAACUGAAAGUGAAAAAUUUCUGCAAACUUCUAAUGCUUCCAAAAAUCUAUACGGCCAACAUACCAUACUAAUGCAGGAUACAAAGGGCAACGAUAGCGAAAGACAACUCAAAAAAUUAUUUAGCUUCUCUCCCCUCCCCAACUAGUGAAACGCACAGAUUCUGGCCAGCUUUGGACUGGCCAGAUUUCAUCCUGAACGCAUGCAAAAAAAGGGAUAAAAUCUCCUCUUUUUGGUUCAAAAUUUCCAUUCGGGCGUUUCGUCUAACAUUACACGGGCAUUAAAAAAUCCGCAAAUCUUUUGCCAAUUAACAUCAUAAUCAACCCAGAAAUUGUUCAGAAAACCAAGAUUUCAGUCCAAUUUACGUAUGCAGCAUGUACAUUCAAAAAUUGAGGUCAAUUGGCAGAAAAAUUGCACUAGAUGAAGCCACGGCAGUCCCAUUUCAAAAACUGGACAAGAACUGAAAAUUUUUUUAAGAGAAAAAGAAACUUACAAUGCUCUUGUUCGGUGAUGAUGGUUUAUUCCGGUGGUGGCAGUGGUGGAUUCCGACGAAUUGGCGGCAGUUCUGGCUCUCCCUCUGUCGAAAACCGCCCCUUCUCCUCUUUUUUUUUUCUUUGUCCCCUGUUUUUCUUGCCCGUAGGUUCCUUGUCCGCCGCCCCUAGAAGAAGCUCGCUGUUUUUUCUUAGCUUUUUCCCCCCCUCCGAAAAACUCCUCUCUGAUUUUUCCAAAUUUUUGCUCCCUCCGUAGCUCUCUCAAUUUUCUCAAUUGCUCUCUUUUCUUUGCCGAAGCCCCCCCUUUUUUGUUUCCUUUUUCUCGCUCUAUUUUCUUUACCCGCCGUCCGCCGCCUCUUUUUGCUUGCCUCUGGUUUUCCUCUCAGCCUCCAAAAGCUUCCUCCAGCCUCUGCCUCUUGCGUCUUUUUUAAGUCCGUUUUUCCUUUUUCUUGCUCCAGCCCCCUUUUUCGUGGCUUUUUCUUCUUUUUCCUUUUCAGUCCG